This 253-nucleotide ribosomal RNA is filed under the name uncultured bacterium. Its description in RNAcentral is "partial 16S ribosomal RNA". It matches the Rfam family "Bacterial small subunit ribosomal RNA", at positions 524 to 776 of the family's 1533-position model. The record is from RNAcentral.
GACGUAGGGCGCGAGCGUUGUCCGGAUUUAUUGGGCGUAAAGAGCUCGUAGGCGGCUUGUCGCGUCGAAUGUGAAAACUUGGGGCUCAACUCCAAGCUUGCAUUCGAUACGGGCAGGCUAGAGUUCGGUAGGGGAGACUGGAAUUCCUGGUGUAGCGGUGAAAUGCGCAGAUAUCAGGAGGAACACCGGUGGCGAAGGCGGGUCUCUGGGCAAUAACUGACGCUGAGGAGCGAAAGCGUGGGGAGCGAACAGG